This 446-nucleotide ribosomal RNA is filed under the name uncultured bacterium. RNAcentral's name for it is "partial 16S ribosomal RNA". It matches the Rfam family "Bacterial small subunit ribosomal RNA", at positions 338 to 795 of the family's 1533-position model. The record is from RNAcentral.
CCUACGGGAGGCAGCAGUCGAGAAUCAUUCACAAUGGGGGAAACCCUGAUGGUGCGACGCCGCGUGGGGGAAUGAAGGUCUUCGGAUUGUAAACCCCUUUCAUGUGGGAGCAAAUUAAAAAGAUAGUACCACAAGAGGAAGAGACGGCUAACUCGGUGCCAGCAGCCUCGGUAAUACAGAGCUCUCAAGCUUUGUUCGGAAUCACUGGGCGUAAAGCGUGCGUAGACGGUUUCGUAAGUCGUGUGUGAAAGGCGCGGGCUCAACCCGCGGCCGGCACAUGAUACUGGGAGACUAGAGGAAUGGAGGGGGGACCGGAAUUCUAGGUGUAGCAGUGAAAUGCGUAGAUAUAGGGAGGAACACGAGUGGCGAAGGCGGGUUCCUGGACAUUAACUGACGCUGAGGCACGAAGGCCAGGGGAGCGAAAGGGAUUAGAUACCCCAGUAGUC